This 460-nucleotide ribosomal RNA is filed under the name uncultured bacterium. RNAcentral describes it as "partial 16S ribosomal RNA". It matches the Rfam family "Bacterial small subunit ribosomal RNA", at positions 338 to 795 of the family's 1533-position model. The record is from RNAcentral.
CCUACGGGUGGCAGCAGUGAGGAAUAUUGGUCAAUGGACGAGAGUCUGAACCAGCCAAGUAGCGUGAAGGAUGACUGCCCUAUGGGUUGUAAACUUCUUUUAUAUGGGAAUAAAAUGUUCCACGUGUGGGAUUUUGUAUGUACCAUAUGAAUAAGGAUCGGCUAACUCCGUGCCAGCAGCCGCGGUAAUACGGAGUAUCCGAGCGUUAUCCGGAUUUAUUGGGUUUAAAGGGCGCGUAGGUGGAUUGUUAAGUCAGUUGUGAAAGUUUGCGGCUCAACCGUAAAAUUGCAGUUGAAACUGGCAGUCUUGAGUACAGUAGAGGUGGGCGGAAUUCGGGGUGUAGCGGUGAAAUGCUUAGAUAUCACGAAGAAGUCCGAUUGCGAAGGCAGUUCACUGGACUGCAACUGACACUGAGGCUCGAAAGUGUGGGUAUCAAACAGGAUUAGAUACCCUUGUAGUC